CCCGGCCAGUCAGCUCGUUCCUGCCUCGCGCCCCUCCUCCCCCCAAAUAAACAGCCCUCCCUACGCCUUGGGAGCCCGGACCGCCCCCUUCCUCCCUCGGCCGGCGUGUUGUGAGGGAGAGUGUGAGCCAGCGCGGCCGGCGGGCGAGCUCCGGGAGUGCGAGAGGCGGGGCGGCGCGGCGGGCCGGGCCGGGUGUCGCGUGUGCGUGCGGGGGUGCGAGUGAGUGCCCGUCGCGACCCGCCAGUGGCCCCGCGCCGACAACCCGGCGGGCGGGCGGGCGAGCGAGCGAGCGACCAGGCGAGGAGCUGCGGGCGCGAGCCGCGGAGGGGCGCGGAGUCCGCGCGCUCGCGCGCACGCACGCACGCACGCGGGGGGCGGGGGCAGGCGCGCGCCCGCCUGUCGCGACAGUCGGGGCCGAGGUCCAGGGGGAGGUGGCCUGUCGCGGGUCGCCCGGCUCCCGGAGGCGAGGGGGGCGCGGGCGGAUGGCGGAGGGCGCCCAGCCGCAGCAGCCGCCUCAGCUCGGGCCCGGCGCCGCUGCCCGGGGCAUGAAGCGGGAGUCGGAGCUGGAGCUGCCGGUGCCCGGAGCGGGAGGAGACGGAGCCGAUCCCGGCCUGAGCAAGCGGCCGCGCACUGAAGAGGCGGCGGCCGACGGUGGCGGCGGGAUGCAGAACGAGCCUCUGACUCCAGGUUAUCAUGGAUUCCCAGCGCGGGACAGCCAGGGUAACCAGGAGCCAACAACAACUCCUGACGCAAUGGUUCAGCCUUUUACUACCAUCCCAUUUCCACCACCUCCGCAGAAUGGAAUUCCCACAGAGUAUGGGGUGCCACACACUCAAGACUAUGCCGGCCAGACCGGUGAGCAUAACCUGACACUCUACGGAAGUACGCAAGCCCACGGGGAGCAGAGCAGCAACUCACCCAGCACACAAAAUGGAUCUCUUACGCAGACAGAAGGUGGAGCACAGACAGACGGCCAGCAGUCACAGACACAAAGUAGUGAAAAUUCAGAGAGUAAAUCUACCCCGAAACGGCUGCAUGUCUCUAAUAUUCCUUUCCGCUUCCGGGACCCUGACCUCCGGCAGAUGUUUGGGCAGUUUGGCAAAAUCCUAGAUGUAGAAAUAAUCUUUAAUGAACGUGGCUCUAAGGGAUUCGGGUUCGUAACUUUCGAGAAUAGUGCUGAUGCAGACAGGGCCAGGGAGAAAUUACACGGCACCGUGGUAGAGGGCCGUAAAAUCGAGGUGAAUAAUGCUACAGCACGUGUAAUGACCAAUAAGAAGAUGGUCACACCAUAUGCAAAUGGUUGGAAAUUAAGCCCAGUAGUUGGAGCUGUAUAUGGUCCAGAGUUAUAUGCAGCAUCCAGCUUUCAAGCAGAUGUGUCCCUAGGCAAUGAUGCAGCAGUGCCCCUGUCAGGAAGAGGGGGUAUCAACACUUACAUUCCUUUAAUCAGUCUCCCUUUAGUUCCUGGCUUCCCUUACCCUACUGCAGCCACCACGGCAGCCGCUUUCAGAGGAGCCCAUUUGAGGGGCAGAGGGCGGACAGUAUAUGGUGCAGUCCGAGCGGUACCUCCAACAGCCAUCCCCGCCUAUCCAGGUGUGGUUUACCAGGACGGAUUUUACGGUGCUGACCUCUAUAAUAGUCUUACAGGAACCAAUCAUUAGCGCUAAAAUACCUCAGGGUGGAUAUGCAGCCUACAGAUAUGCACAGCCUGCUACUGCAACCGCAGCCACCGCUGCUGCAGCCGCUGCAGCCGCUUACAGCGACGGUUAUGGCAGGGUGUACACAGCCGACCCCUACCAUGCCCUUGCCCCUGCCGCUAGCUAUGGAGUUGGCGCUGUGGCGAGUUUAUACCGAGGUGGCUACAGCCGAUUUGCCCCCUACUGAAGUGACGUGAGACCCCUGCAAAUGGGACAGCCCCCCAGUUCAUGAGGCCUGGCUAUUGCAAUAUUUACUAGUAGAGGAACUCUAUAGCAAGAUGAAGAGGAAAAACAAACAAACAAACAAAAAACACAAAAAAAGAAAGAAUACUUUUUUAUACCUCACUAUGUUCUUUGAAUAUGUAUUUUUCCUUUAAAUUUCUGCCUUUAAUUCUUUUGUUCCAAAGAUUGUGCAUUUUUUUCUUUUUUUUUUUUUAAACUGUGGUAAAAAAAAAAAAAAUAAUGCAUUUCCAUGUCUGUAUGUCCGUGCUUAGCUUAUUCUGUCAGUCACGGAAGAGGCAGGCAAGGAGGGAGGAGAGGCAUGAGGAGCUGAUAAAUGCAUCUGAUCAGAAAUCAGCAGACAGAACUACCAAAGUGUGCCUGGUGCUGAAUGGCUGGGGGACAAGCAGAAGUGGAAGAGAUCUUUCCGCAACAGGAUAUUCUUCUAGUCUUCUGAGUUUCUGGUCUUUUGACAGGCAAUUCUGGUUGGAUGUGGCUGGAAUCCACAUGCUGAUAGAUAGGAAUGUGUGCUUAUAAAGCAGGAGAAUUAAAAAGACGCUUUCCUCUCCUCUUCCCUCCUGUCUUCUCCACUCUUUUUACAAUCAUCUUACACGCACAGCCUGAGACAGUUGGCAUCGUUUUUGGAAUUAUAGUAUUGAUAUUUCCAAACGUGCUCUCAGACUGUGGAUAAUAAACACCUCAUUAGGAAACCGAUCUCGGAGUGAACUCUGGAGUAUGAAAAAGAUCAUUUCUUUUUGUUCCUGUAACUUAGCAUUCUUUCUGGGCUUCUUCUCCUUUAAUUGAACCACAGCUUAGCUCAUGUAUUCUUUUAUUAACAUCCUGCUCUCAUGUCCAUAAGAUUCAGGAAUUUAGGACCCAGGGACAGAAAGAUGAAUAAGCCAGUGACCAGAUUUCCCCCAGAUGUCUGGGCACCGCUUGAGGAUUAGAAGUACAAAGUGUUCACAGCCAUUAAAGAGGGUGAGGAAGAGAAAAGGAAUAUUAGAAGAUCUGGUAUUUCUUUUUUCUUGCCUUAGAAAGUACAAAGUUUAAAAAACAGAAUAAAGAAUCUGCUGGGGAAAGACAGAGUAGCAGGUCCUAGGUCAGCAGUCCCUGGAAGUUUUGGUGAUGAGGACAUGGAAGGGCAGGCAGAGGCACUUUGUACUUGCUCCAAAGCCAUAGGAAUUUUCAUCUUCCAGAGCCUUUAUGAGUCACUUCUCUAUCCACAGUCUUGAGCCCUGUGGCUGUCCUGCCAAGCUUCUCACUGUCCUCCAAAAACAGCCAGCUGAGCACCCGGACCACUUUGUGUACAUUAACACUACAGGACAUAAAAUGCGGAGGCCCUGAGAUUGCUGCCCUCCCAUAUUGGCAGGAGGGUCUGAAAUGGCAAGGGUCUUCUGUAUCGCCAGGAAGAGUCAUGCAGUGAGUCACUGCCGUUGCCAUCUGGCUGUAAUUUUCUGUGUUAUCAAGGUAGGAGAGAGAGUUUCUCUUCUAGCUAUUAGAGAGAACUGAUCAAAGCAAGUGUCCUACAGCAUUUCCCAAAUGAAGGCAUUAGGAAAUAGAAACGCACGGUCUUUUUGGCUCCCUGGUCUAUUCACAUUGGUACUAGGGUGAUCUUUCACCCAAGGGACAGCUGCUACAGGGAGUAAUUCAGAGACGUGGAGCUUCUGGUUUGUUAUGGGUUGGUUUUGGGUUUGUUUUUUAACUCCUGCCUCCACACGUUCUUGACUGAUAACUGACUCAUGUCCCUGAAUUAAAAUGACUGACCUACGACAGCAUCAAGCAUUCUUUGUAAGCAGAGUGAUGUGUCUGAGAGGGCACUGGCCCGUCGCGUAGAAUACAUAUCCUCUCCCCCUUCGGAAUCCUGUCUCGCCUCAUAACUGGGAGAGAGGCUGUGCCUGAAACUAGGGGCGAUGUCAAGGAAGCUAGAGGCCUCGAUGCAAUUAUUACUCAUCCUGGGGAGGAGGACGGAGACUAAGGGGACACCAACGGCCCAGUCCAUUGGCCAUUUUUAAGGAUCCCCCCACCCCAAGCCAAAGUUUGGUUUGUUGCUGUUAAGACAAUUUUUGUUGUAUGUAUAUAAAUAUUUUAGUUAGAGGAGCGGGGAAUGGGAUGCGGGCUUUCACAGUUCUAGGGAAUGGGGGCAGGGAGGAUUUUGCUUUUGCUUUUGCUUUGAGGGAGAACUUUAGCUGACUGAAAAAACAAAAGUUUGAGGUCAUGAUCACAAAGGGGCCAUUCCCAAAAGAUGGCAAGCCACGUACUCAAUGGAGACUAGGCCAAAUUCUAAAUGGCUGUAUCCCUAGCAGGGGAGAAUAGGAGAAUGAGUUUAAGUGUUUUUCUCUUCUUUUUUCCUAGAAAGAGGUAAGGAUAAUAGGAAAGGUAGAGAAGGCAGCUCCCACAGACCUUUUCAGAGAGGCAGAAUCUUGAGCUUGAGGCACCUUGAGUGCAUCUCAGUUCAGCUGGUUCUGGCUGAGGCCUCCAAAGGCAAGCUCUGUGCUUUCCAGUGGUUUCUGCUGCAUUUCCAGGGAUGGUGUUUAACACCGCUUCCUCCAGCUCCCUUUUCUAAGAAAGAAUAGAUGGAGUUCUGCUUUUUAUGAAAGGGUCUUUGGUUUUCAGUGUCAACACUGAGAAUUGGGGCUCUUACAAGCAUCUAGAUUUCACAGUAUCAACCUCGCCAUCACCAUUUGAACUUUGAGACUCCACACAGUCAACUUCACCAGAGGCAGGUUGCUCAAAGCAGCACUGCUUGUCUGUUCCUGACUCUGGUUCUCACUGUAUUAAGAGAGUCAGAGGAGUCUGGCAUUUCGUGAGUUUUUAGAGGAUGCUGGCUGGUAAUUCCAGAAAACUCACCGAUGCUGAAUCACAUGCAUGAUUCUUUUUCAACUUUACUAUAGUUCAUGACCUGGACUUUCUGUACUCUUGGAAGCUGGGCUCCUUAAAGGAGGCCUCUAGUGAAAACCUUUAUCUCCACGUCCCUCUUUUAGCCCAGAGAGCUGCCCAAAGGCAUUUUCCAGAAUUCCUUGUGUCUCUUAGUUCAAUUUCCAUUAACUCAGAUCAGCCAUUGUGAUUCACCAUUUGUCAGCCUCUCGGGUUUCACAAAACCUACUAUCACCAUCAUCCUCCAACAGCCACAGUCUGAAUUGAGCCAACAUUUUUUUUUUUUCUUUGAGAAAGCAGUGGACUGGGGCACCACUUCUAGUCUGAGGGGAGCUAGUGGAAAUCUAGACGCUCGAAAUCAUCGAUAGCAGCUUUUCCUCAAAUGUGUGAUUCCUCAGGGGCUGAACUGCUCUUAGCUUAGAAUUAUGCUUUACUAGAGAUCCAGCAGAGAAGUGGGUUAAUCACUACCAUCCCGUGACUAGUUACAUAGCUUCCAGACAUGAGGGAGACUGAUAUCAAACAGGGACGGAAGCAACCCCAAGGAUAUGCAAGAAGGGCAUGAUGAGCCCCCUUCCCUCUGUCAGGAGAACAAGGCCAACCAAGGGACGGACUGGAAAGCACUUACAUGUUUAAGGAGGGAAAAGGGGACGCUUUGGCGAGCCCUCCCCUUCUGCCAAGUUCAGCCAGUUCUCUGCUGCUUGCAACCCUCUAGCACAGUGACAUUUGCAGAAUUGCAGGUUUUUUCCCCCAGACACUAGGAGGAAAGGGACUUUGGGGGGUGGGGAAGGGGUCGUGGUGUUUUAAAAGCAUAAGUUACCUGUUUGCACUGUUUUAAGAUAGGAAAAAAAUAGUGGGCAAGGUGAACAUCAGACGUAAAUUUGUGUGUUUUUAUUUUGUCAUGCUCUUGAAAAUGUUUGACCAUUUGUAGUAUACACAGUGAAACUUGAUUCUCUGUUGCAUAAAACACUAUAUUUUUUUGGAAAUGUUACUGUCCAAAAGCCUCUUCCCUCCCUUUCCUUUUCCUGUGUACUUCCUUCAUACUUGCUUUACUGAUCGGCCAGGCAAUAGCCAUCCAAGAGCUAGAGCAUGAAACAGGGCCCUUUCCAAGUAGGCUCUGGGUGUCCUAAGCCAGCGUGUGCCCUCUGGUUCGGUGAGCGUAGGAGAGUCCCUGGCACCUUUCUUUGCAAACAAGGCUUACAGACCAGACUGCAGCAAGUUGUCAAAUUCCUCGAUCAGAUGCACUAGGAGUGAGGCCUCGCCCAGGGAUGGAGGGGAUUCCUGAAGUGCUGCAGUUGGCUGUAGUAGCUGAGUUCUUUUCCAUGUUACCGAAACUGUAGCCAGUUACAGUUUACUCAGGAAAACGGUAGAUCAAUUCAGCCAUGGUAGUGCUGGUCGGCAGGGAUUGGUAACGGAGAGAACUGCUUAGCAGCCAAAACUCAAGCCUUGCCUUUUAGGAGGCCACCGGCAGAGGGACUUGGUCCUCCUUGUCUGGCACUUGCGUCCAUGCCAGCGACCUGAGGACUGCACUCACACUGGCGAGCAAGAAGGGAACAGUGAUUCUCUUUUCUCUCCCCACCCCCUGCCCUUUGUUACCAACACCAGUUUCCCAGGGGGUACAUGAGUUUUUGAAUUUUUAAAACAUGUGUUUUGGUUUCGUUUUUCCGGGGACUGAUAAGUGCUUUAAGCAAUGUCCAUACCCCGUCAAGACUCCCAGCUUAGUCAUUUUCUUGUAUUUUUCUGUUCACAGUAUUUGUGUGUGUGCUUGUUUUGGCAGCUCAUUUUGGCUGUAUUAUAUAUCGAGUGACGAAUUGAUCCUCUUUUUUUCCCUAAGGGAUAUGAAUUGUUUUUCUUGUGUUAUAUUCUGCUUGUGAAUAGCUGGAGCAAACCUGGGGCUGACACACGUAAGCUAGGGCUGCAAAGCGAGAAGAGAGCCGGUGGAGUGUACUUGUCCCUGACAGGCUGACCUGCCUGAGUCUCUGAGCUUUUCAGUCCAAAUCUUUGCAAGGCUCAAAAUGCCACAGAACCUCUCCUCUUCUCCCCACUCCCCAUGGCAGGAACCGGACCAUCCCUACAUGCAACAUGCUAUUCCUCCAGCCCCUCCCAUUGCCAUGGCAAAACAGGUACCUUGGGGCAGGGGGGCAUUACAUGGGAUGCUUGUGUGAUCGACCACCCAGCCUUGUCUCUCCCCUCCCGGCCUCCCCCACAAUCACUUCCUAGGACACCCGAGCUGCUUGCCCAGGGUCCUGUUUCCCUGCUAACUCCAGAGAAGCAUCCCAGGGCUUUGUGACAGUCUCUGAUUCCCUUCCCUUCUCGUUAAGAAUCAUAUUGUAUAGUAGCUUUCAGACCAUACAGUAUUCAUUGGGUUACUCCUAUUAUUAUCAAGUAGCUGGAAUUGUGAAGGUCGGAGUAGUUAGAUCUUUAGCUUUUAUUCCUUAUUUUUUUGUAUUACUCUCCAUGUGUAUAAAUUAUUGAUCAUGUUGCUGGCUUUUAUAAACUCUAAGCGAAGGAGGAGCACUGCCUCAGCCUUUGCACAUGGUAAUGAAGCACUGUUUUUAAAUAAAAGAGAGAAACACCA
This is a non-coding RNA of Chlorocebus sabaeus (green monkey), 7362 nucleotides long. The record is from RefSeq and is a predicted model, not a curated record. Lineage: Eukaryota; Metazoa; Chordata; Mammalia; Primates; Cercopithecidae.